GGGGGAGGAUAGGGUCCGGUGGCCCUACCGGUCUUCAAAACCGGCUUGUCCAUGCAUGUGGAUAGGUGGGUUCGACUCCCACCCUCUCCCGCCA
RNAcentral lists this transfer RNA (94 nucleotides) under Candidatus Poribacteria bacterium. RNAcentral's name for it is "tRNA-Sec". It matches the Rfam family "Selenocysteine transfer RNA". Lineage: Bacteria; Candidatus Poribacteria. The record is from RNAcentral.